UAGCACUUGCUAAAAAUAAUGUCGAAACUGGACUGGCUUAGUAGUUUCUUUUAAGCGAAAAGUCGGUAGACAAAAUAAGAA
Molecule: non-coding RNA, 81 nt
Filed under: unclassified sequences
Description: RT-18 RNA
Rfam family: RT-18 RNA
About the family: Clostridiales (Firmicutes). Nearby to self-splicing intron genes
Source: Rfam by way of RNAcentral